AAUCACUCCACCUAAGCUCCCUUUUCAGCUCCUUAUCCUCUCCCUUGAUCACUCACAAAUUCUAAAAACCAUCUCUUCCUUCUUCUUCUUCUUUGUAUCAUUUUCUUGAAAAAUAAUACUCUUAGAAAGAACACCAUGUCUCUAACUAUUCCAACAAGCCUUUCAAAACCCAUUUCCACAUCUAAAUUUGGGUCUCAAUUUACCACAAAACAAAGAACUUCAGCCAUUGUGUGUUGUUCAAACCAAACCCCUGUUUCUAAUUCAACAGAGGAAAGUUCUUCUUCAUUAAAGGCAUUCUCUGCAGCACUUGCUUUGUCUUCUAUUCUUUUGUCAGCACCAGUUCUUCCAGCUUCUGCUGACAUCUCUGGGCUUACACCUUGCAAGGACUCAAAACAGUUUGCUAAAAGGGAGAAGCAACAGAUCAAGAAGCUUCAAAAUUCUUUGAAACUUUAUGCACCUGAUAGCGCCCCUGCACUUGCUAUCAAUGCCACUAUUGAGAAAACUAAACGCAGGUUUGACAACUAUGGAAAGCAAGGACUGUUGUGUGGAUCAGAUGGACUACCGCAUUUGAUAGUGAGUG
RNAcentral lists this unclassified non-coding RNA (580 nucleotides) under Hevea brasiliensis (rubber tree). Lineage: Eukaryota; Viridiplantae; Streptophyta; Magnoliopsida; Malpighiales; Euphorbiaceae. The record is from RNAcentral.